UGGGGAAUUUUGCGCAAUGGGCGAAAGCCUGACGCAGCGACGCCGCGUGGAGGAUGAAGGUUCUAGGAUUGUAAACUCCUGUUAAGUGGGAAGAAAAACUUGUUCCUAAUACGAACAAGCAAUGACUGUACCAUUAGAGAAAGCACCGGCUAACUUCGUGCCAGCAGCCGCGGUAAUACGAGGGGUGCAAGCGUUAUUCGGAAUAAUUGGGCGUAAAGGGUGUGUAGACGGCAUAUUAAGUCAGUCGUUAAAUCUUCCGGCCUAACUGGAAGCUCGCGAUUGAAACUGGUAAGCUAGAGGGUGGAAGAGAGAAGUGGAAUUCUCGGAGUAGCGGUAAAAUGCGUAGAUCUCGAGAGGAACACCGAUGGCGAAGGCAGCUUCUUGGUCCAUUUCUGACGUUGAAACACGAAAGCGUGGGGAGCAAACAGGAUUAGAUACCCCGGUAGUCC
RNAcentral lists this ribosomal RNA (449 nucleotides) under uncultured bacterium. Its description in RNAcentral is "bacterial SSU rRNA". It matches the Rfam family "Bacterial small subunit ribosomal RNA", at positions 355 to 796 of the family's 1533-position model. The record is from RNAcentral.